UGGGGAAUAUUGGACAAUGGGCGAAAGCCUGAUCCAGCCAUGCCGCGUGUGUGAAGAAGGUCUUCGGAUUGUAAAGCACUUUAAGUUGGGAGGAAGGGCAGUAAGCGAAUACCUUGCUGUUUUUACGUUACCGACAGAAUAAGCACCGGCUAACUCUGUGCCAGCAGCCGCGGUAAUACAGAGGGUGCAAGCGUUAAUCGGAAUUACUGGGCGUAAAGCGCGCGUAGGUGGUUCGUUAAGUUGAAUGUGAAAGCCCCGGGCUCAACCUGGGAACUACAUCCAAAACUGGCGAGCUAGAGUAGGGCAGAGGGUGGUGGAAUUUCCUGUGUAGCGGUGAAAUGCGUAGAUAUAGGAAGGAACACCAGUGGCGAAGGCGACCACCUGGGCUCAUACUGACACUGAGGUGCGAAAGCGUGGGGAGCAAACAGG
Molecule: ribosomal RNA, 429 nt
Filed under: Pseudomonadota bacterium
Lineage: Bacteria; Pseudomonadati; Pseudomonadota
Description: Proteobacteria bacterium partial 16S ribosomal RNA
Rfam family: Bacterial small subunit ribosomal RNA
Source: RNAcentral